RNAcentral lists this non-coding RNA (77 nucleotides) under marine eukaryotic metagenome. RNAcentral's name for it is "Cyclic di-GMP-I riboswitch". It matches the Rfam family "c-di-GMP-I riboswitch aptamer", at positions 10 to 82 of the family's 87-position model. From Rfam's summary of the family: GEMM was predicted in a large-scale screen for bacterial structured RNA regulatory elements. Genes associated with GEMM are involved in a diverse array of functions, including chemotaxis regulation, signal transduction, secretion and chitin. The record is from RNAcentral.
UAGGCAAACCUGGCGAAAGCCAGGGACGCUAAAGCUAUGGGUCUAAGGGCUGUACUAAGUCUAUGAUUGCCAGGCUG